AGUGAACGCUGGCGGUGGGCCUAACACAUGCAAGUCGAACGGCAGCACAGUAAGAGCUUGCUCUUACGGGUGGCGAGUGGCGGACGGGUGAGGAAUACAUCGGAAUCUACUUUUUCGUGGGGGAUAACGUAGGGAAACUUACGCUAAUACCGCAUACGACCUACGGGUGAAAGCAGGGGAUCUUCGGACCUUGCGCGAUUGAAUGAGCCGAUGUCGGAUUAGCUAGUUGGCGGGGUAAAGGCCCACCAAGGCGACGAUCCGUAGCUGGUCUGAGAGGAUGAUCAGCCACACUGGAACUGAGACACGGUCCAGACUCCUACGGGAGGCAGCAGUGGGGAAUAUUGGACAAUGGGCGCAAGCCUGAUCCAGCCAUACUGCGUGGGUGAAGAAGGCCUUCGGGUUGUAAAGCCCUUUUGUUGGGAAAGAAAAGCAGCAGGUUAAUACCCCGCUGUUCUGACGGUACCCAAAGAAUAAGCACCGGCUAACUUCGUG
RNAcentral lists this ribosomal RNA (492 nucleotides) under uncultured bacterium. Its description in RNAcentral is "partial 16S ribosomal RNA". It matches the Rfam family "Bacterial small subunit ribosomal RNA", at positions 29 to 507 of the family's 1533-position model. The record is from RNAcentral.